UCUCCGUAGGUGAACCUGCGGAGGGAUCAUUACAAGAACGCCCGGGCUUCGGCCUGGUUAUUCAUAACCCUUUGUUGUCCGACUCUGUUGCCUCCGGGGCGACCCUGCCUUCGGGCGGGGGCUCCGGGUGGACACUUCAAACUCUUGCGUAACUUUGCAGUCUGAGUAAACUUAAUUAAUAAAUUAAAACUUUUAACAACGGAUCUCUUGGUUCUGGCAUCGAUGAAGAACGCAGCGAAAUGCGAUAAGUAAUGUGAAUUGCAGAAUUCAGUGAAUCAUCGAAUCUUUGAACGCACAUUGCGCCCCCUGGUAUUCCGGGGGGCAUGCCUGUUCGAGCGUCAUUUCACCACUCAAGCCUCGCUUGGUAUUGGGCAACGCGGUCCGCCGCGUGCCUCAAAUCGUCCGGCUGGGUCUUCUGUCCCCUAAGCGUUGUGGAAACUAUUCGCUAAAGGGUGUUCGGGAGGCUACGCCGUAAAACAACCCCAUUUCUAAGGUUGACCUCGGAUCAGGUAGGGAUACCCGCUGAACUUAAGCAUAUCAAUAAGCGGAGGAAGGGAAAC
Molecule: ribosomal RNA, 560 nt
Filed under: uncultured Davidiellaceae
Lineage: Eukaryota; Fungi; Ascomycota; Dothideomycetes; Cladosporiales; Cladosporiaceae
Description: eukaryotic LSU rRNA
Rfam family: 5.8S ribosomal RNA (bases 188-341)
Source: RNAcentral